UGGGGAAUAUUGCACAAUGGGCGCAAGCCUGAUGCAGCGACGCCGCGUGAGGGAUGACGGCCUUCGGGUUGUAAACCUCUGUUAGCAGGGAAGAAGAGAGAUCGACGGUACCUGCAGAGAAAGCGCCGGCUAACUACGUGCCAGCAGCCGCGGUAAUACGUAGGGCGCGAGCGUUGUCCGGAAUUAUUGGGCGUAAAGAGCUCGUAGGCGGUUUGUCGCGUCUGCUGUGAAAGGCCGGGGCUUAACCCCGUGUAUUGCAGUGGGUACGGGCAGACUAGAGUGCAGUAGGGGAGACUGGAAUUCCUGGUGUAGCGGUGGAAUGCGCAGAUAUCAGGAGGAACACCGAUGGCGAGGGCAGGUCUCUGGGCUGUAACUGACGCUGAGAAGCGAAAGCAUGGGGAGCGAACAG
RNAcentral lists this ribosomal RNA (409 nucleotides) under uncultured bacterium. RNAcentral describes it as "bacterial SSU rRNA". It matches the Rfam family "Bacterial small subunit ribosomal RNA", at positions 355 to 775 of the family's 1533-position model. The record is from RNAcentral.